RNAcentral lists this long non-coding RNA (3532 nucleotides) under Sus scrofa (pig). RNAcentral's name for it is "lncRNA (ENSSSCG00065041148.1)". Lineage: Eukaryota; Metazoa; Chordata; Mammalia; Artiodactyla; Suidae. The record is from RNAcentral.
UUUUUUUUUUUUCUUUCAUUUUUUGGUCUAUGUUUCCAUCUAUCCAACAAUGGUUCAUUUACCUUGAUUAGCAGAGGAAAUGGUGUCACAUUUUUCAAUAGGGACUAGUGAUUUUUAAACUAUUUAGGCCAAAAGCUGCAUAAAUCAUCACUACCAUGCAAAAAAUAACCAGGAAUCUGGAAUUAAAAAUAUGUGUUUGGCAUCUAACUAGUUAUUUUAUCAGUACAAGAACCUAAUGUUGAAUAUUAAUGCCAGAGACUACCUAGUUCUAUGUUUCCUACUUUGAUACCAUGGCUAUCAUCCCUAAAGUUAAAAAACAAAAGGUCCUUUUUAUAGGACCUAAAAGGUCUAUAAAAAAGCCACUGUACCACCAGCUGUGAUAUCAGAUGGAAUAUUCCACUCCAUUAUCAUUGCUUGCCUCAUAAUGGCCACUUAUAGAUAUAACCAGAAUUGGCUGAAGUUGGCAAUGUUUUCUUAAGUACCUAUAUGUUAUUUCUUUUUAAAAAGUUAACUGUUAAUAGGUUGGCUGUGUGCGUCUGUGUGUGUGUACAUGCACUCGUGCAGAGACGGUGGGGGUGGUGUCACAUGCGGAGAACCAAAAUUCAUCUUUGCAGUUAAGAUAUAGGUGUGGUACUGUUUAUGUUCUGGAGGUGAGGGCAGAACUCCAUAACAUUCUCACCUACAGUCUUCACAACCAUAGCGACCCUGUAGUAUGAGAAGAUGCACCCCAAGCACAAAGCCCUAAUUUACAAGCCACACAAUUCCCUCUGUCAAAGCGGGUCGAGGGCAUAAUCAUCAGGCUUCGUACAGUGCCUGUGCACUUGCGCACACUGGUGUGAAGAGCGGCUGCCUGUGAAAUGUUUAUUCCUUUCCAUGUGCAUUAUCUCUGGCUCCAUCACUUACCACGGCUUGACGGAUUUAACAUUUUCCGGAGACAUAAAGGGAAAGACUGAAAAUAUUAAGGACUGGGAAAGCAAAAUCCAUUUUCAGUAGAAAAAUAAACGUGAAAAAAUGAAUGUAGGAAAGGGAAGACAUUUUAAAACAUUGCUUCCUUAUCAGAUGAAAAAGAUGGAAAGAGAAAGCAGUGGCCAUUUAUCUAACUUUACCAUUCUCAUCACCAGCAUGUCCCAGAAUCCCACUUCCAGGCUGAUCAUUUCAUGCUCCAAUCACUAACCCCAUGAGGCAGACUCUUUUCCUGCUUUUCUAGAGCUCCUCGCUUGCCCUCAACCACAAGCAUUAAUGGGCAGCUUCCCUGACUAUGAACUCUGCACAAGUCUCAGCAUUUAUGUAAUUCCAAACCGGCUGGCUCAGACUCAGGCAGCGUGAUGUUUCCUCUUCAUUUCUAAUAACUUUGACCUUGGAAGAGAACAGACAGUGCUGCCUCCUCAGUGCAGGAGAAAAUUAUGUAGAAUAUUGUAACCAUAUAAAAAAGGACAGGGUGUGUUUCUUUUCUUUAUUUUAGGGGAAAUGAGGUCGAGUUUAUGAUAGUAUUAUCUUUGGUGGUGUCAUCUGUAUGAGGUGGAGGGAAAGAGAAAAGGAGCAAGACAGAAAUCCAUGUGGGGGAGGUGGCACACAAUGCCUUCUUGGGGGUGGUUGAAAACUACUACUGAGCACGAUUUCUAAUGUCCUGCCCCUUCUCCUCCUCACCUUCUGCUUCUGUUUCCCUCUGUGCAUGGAUCCCCCAAAGAAAAGUCAGACGAAAGGAGGCAUGUUUCAAUGUGGGCAAUACAGUACAUUAGUUGGAGAAACAGUAGAACUGUCACUGAGCCUGUGCCCUCCCCACCAUGACCAUUACAAUCACUGAAUUAAAACACAUGUUCACUGGUGCACGUGGGAUUACUCUCACAUUGCUAAUUCCACACUGGGGAUCUAUAGAGUAAAGACUUGUGGAAUUUCUAACUCUUGGAACUUUAAAAAGCUAAUUGCUACUCUCCAUUUUGUUGUUCUCUCUCUCACAAAGUCUGGAGGUUUUUUUGAUGAGACCCUAAAAAUACUGAAAGUUUCAAUUUGCCAACUUCCCCAUAGCAGGUACCAGCUGAAUUUUUCAAGCCACUCUGAUCUCUUGGGUCUUCAGCACAACAUUAUUCAUUUUCUCAGUGUAAGGCAGUGAGAAAUUGAUUUUGCUUUCAAAUCACCUGGUAGAGUAUUUUUUCAUAAGAGGACCUCAAACAAGAACUGGGCUCUUGGAUUAACCACCCUAGUAUUUAAGGCAUGCCAAGACCAAGAAGGGGCAAACAGUAGUGCAAUUCAUUUGAGAUAAAUGAAGUGGAGUUAAGUUCAAUUUUCUAUAAAUGUUUAGGCCAUUUCACCCAUAGUAAAAUGCUUUUCCAGUCUUGAAUCCCAUGGGUUUAUUAGGCUGGCUUGAAGUGGUUUACUCUAAAAUACAGUGCUUGCUUAGAGAUGGUAACUAAACUCAUGGAACCCUGAGGUUUCUUGUUUGUUUAUCUCCUUUGUAAAAUUCUAUGAAAGAAACAGUCAGUAGCAUCUAUAGCAUCUAAAAGAAGGCCUAACACAAAAGAGAACACACUAAUUUAUAAAAGACAGCAACAAACCAAGACAGGUAUUUCUCUGAGAUACAAAUAAAUACUUCUUAAAAAUUGAGGGUAGGGGUUUGCACUGUCAAAUGUUUGAAAAUCACUGUGCAUGUUGUAUACCAUUUUUUUGAUAUUCACAAUGAACCAUAACAUAUAAAAGGCUCUGAAAAGUCCCACUUUCCAAAAACUUCUUUAAUUUUUUUAUAUUUUUAUUAGAGUUGAUUUACAAUAUUGUGCCAAUUUCUGCUACAGUAAAGUGACUCAGUCAUAUAUAUGUAUAUAUACACACACACAUAUCCAUAUACAUACACACACACACACUUGAUCUUUUUUUAUAUUCUUUUCCAUCUUGGUCUAUUCCAGGAGACUGGAUAUAUCUCCCUGUGCUAUACAGUAUAGAACCUUGCUGUUUAAUUUUAUUAACUUAAUUAAAAAAUAAUUCCUACCUAUAUUUAACUUAGAAUAGACUUUUUCCCAGGAAAGUAGAAUAUCCACAAAUAUUUAUAGGAUGCCCUAGUUUGUCACAACUCACUUAGGGAAAUCGUCAGUUAUGUCAAAAGCCAAGUGAUACAGCAAAGGUUGCCAAAGACCUACUGACUCUGUGAUCAGUUUCUCCUACCCUUCUACUCUGUUCCUUUUAUAUAUGCCGUUUUCCAACUGCAGGUCCAGGAAGACCAUCUAUUUGACUAUUUAUUUUUUUUUAAUUUUUAUUUAUUUAUUUAUUUAUUGUCUUUUUGUCUUUCCUAGGGCCACUCCCGCGGCAUACGGAGGUUCCCAGGCUAGGGGGUGUGUCUUGAAUGUUUGUAUGAGAUAGGAAUGUGGCUUCAUCUGGGGGGGAAUCCAUUUUACUAACAUUAUAUAUUAAAAUAUCUGCAAUAAAAUACUUUUCAAUUAAAAAAAAAGAUGUGUAGCUUAAAGCUAAACUUGAACUAAAAAACUAUACAAGGCAGCUAGCUGUAUGAACUAGUUACUUGCCUCAUUUCUCUCUUUGGAUUUCU